This 410-nucleotide ribosomal RNA is filed under the name uncultured microorganism. RNAcentral's name for it is "bacterial SSU rRNA". It matches the Rfam family "Bacterial small subunit ribosomal RNA", at positions 509 to 917 of the family's 1533-position model. The record is from RNAcentral.
CAGCCGCCGCGGUAAUACGUAGGGGGCGAGCGUUGUCCGGAAUUAUUGGGCGUAAAGCGCGCGCAGGCGGUCCUUUAAGUCUGAUGUGAAAGCCCACGGCUCAACCGUGGAGGGUCAUUGGAAACUGGGGGACUUGAGUGCAGGAGAGGAGAGCGGAAUUCCACGUGUAGCGGUGAAAUGCGUAGAGAUGUGGAGGAACACCAGUGGCGAAGGCGGCUCUCUGGCCUGUAACUGACGCUGAGGCGCGAAAGCGUGGGAAGCAAACAGGAUUAGAUACCCUGGUAGUCCACGCCGUAAACGAUGAGUGCUAAGUGUUAGAGGGGUCACACCCUUUAGUGCUGUAGCUAACGCGAUAAGCACUCCGCCUGGGGAGUACGGCCGCAAGGCUGAAACUUAAAGGAAUUGGCGGG